Non-coding RNA from Gossypium arboreum, 107 nucleotides. The record is from Rfam. Lineage: Eukaryota; Viridiplantae; Streptophyta; Magnoliopsida; Malvales; Malvaceae.
AACUUAUGGUAAGGCCACCUUCUCAAUAAAUCCUUAUACCUCUCUCAUGCAUCGUAAAGGGUUUCUAAAUCCAUUUACAUGAAGGAAUAGAUAUCAUUUCUCAACUU